UACGUAGGGGGCUAGCGUUAUCCGGAAUUACUGGGCGUAAAGGGUGCGUAGGUGGUUUCUUAAGUCAGAGGUGAAAGGCUACGGCUCAACCGUAGUAAGCCUUUGAAACUGGGGAACUCGAGUGCAGGAGAGGAGAGUGGAAUUCCUAGUGUAGCGGUGAAAUGCGUAGAUAUUAGGAGGAACACCAGUUGCGAAGGCGGCUCUCUGGACUGUAACUAACACUGAGGCACGAAAGCGUGGGGAGCAAACAGG
Molecule: ribosomal RNA, 252 nt
Filed under: uncultured bacterium
Lineage: Bacteria
Description: partial 16S ribosomal RNA
Rfam family: Bacterial small subunit ribosomal RNA
Source: RNAcentral